Molecule: ribosomal RNA, 253 nt
Filed under: uncultured bacterium
Lineage: Bacteria
Description: partial 16S ribosomal RNA
Rfam family: Bacterial small subunit ribosomal RNA
Source: RNAcentral
UACGUAGGUGGCAAGCGUUGUCCGGAAUUACUGGGCGUAAAGAGCGCGUAGGCGGGAAUUUAAGUCAGGAGUGAAAACUGGCGGCUCAACCGCCAGCCUGCUCUUGAAACUGGAUUUCUUGAGGGUAUGAGAGGAAAGCGGAAUUCCCAGUGUAGCGGUGAAAUGCGUAGAUAUUGGGAGGAACACCAGUGGCGAAGGCGGCUUUCUGGCAUACAACUGACGCUGAGGCGCGAAAGCGUGGGGAGCAAACGGG